Long non-coding RNA from Rhododendron vialii, 1176 nucleotides. RefSeq lists it as uncharacterized. The transcript has 2 exons. NCBI's taxonomy places the organism in Eukaryota, Viridiplantae, Streptophyta, Magnoliopsida, Ericales, Ericaceae. The record is from RefSeq and is a predicted model, not a curated record.
CAGAACUGGCCAUUAGGAUACCAUGACUGGUCAUCUUACUUACCAAAUAGUCUCAUAUUUGAGCCCACACAGCACUUCCCAAGGAUGUACAGAGGUGAAAAGAUAUGUAGACGGCACAAAAAGGUAAACAGAUGCAACUAAGAGGAAUCGAGCAAAGAAGGCAAAGAAAAGAAAAGAAGAAGAAGGCGAAGAAAGAAGAAGAAGAUGCAGCCUAAGUAUGGUAGACACUGUAUGCAAAACUGUCCUUCUCAAUUGCAGAAUCUUCAUAUCAACUAGUUGCAGCAGAUUACAAAGUUCUGCAAAUGGUAUUCGCCAUGCAAAAAUGUUCAAACAAAGAACCAUAAAGCAAGGCAUUGUUUGGAGGGUUUCUCAUUGUGUUUUUGCUCCCUAGCUAGGUGUGAUUUUCUCUUUUCCAGGGCUUUCCCCUGCAGUUGAUUCAGCAGGUCUUUUUCCCUGCUUCGUUCUGGUUGUAAGGGUUUGCCCUCUGAUUUUUGUUUGUUUGCUCAAUAGAUGGUUUAAUUACCAAAAAAAGAGUUAAGAAGUUUAAGAUUCAAACUUUAUUCCCCAAUCCAAGCUUCAUUAGAAUGUUCAUUGUAUCGGGGGGUUUUUUCCUGCACUUCUUGGUCCCAUUUUCUUCUUUUUCCUCCCUUGAGGGGAAAGAGAAUAGAAACUGGAAUAAGAAGGCAGCAAAGAAAAUGAACGUUUGGCCCGUUAGGCUCGUUUAUCAAACCUUUAAAAUUGCCAACAGGCAAUCACAGAGCAAUGCAAGCGUACUAGCAUGCAUAUUGUAGCCGAUAACACAUGCAGCAGGGCUGCUAAACGAUCCAAGCCACCCAAGUUUGAGCUCGUGGCUUGUUAAAAGCUUGUCCACAAAAAAAAAAAAACAACAACUCAGAACGUAUAUUCUUAUUGCUUAACAAACUAGCUACUACUCGGCUUACUCUGCUCGUUUGACUUAUAGUUAUGAUGUAUAAGAAUUCAAGCUACUCGAGAUCAGCGAGUUUGGCUCGAUCAAAACUUGUUUGAGAUAGACUUGUCUCAUAAACAAGCUAAGCCAUAACAUAUUUUGAACCUCGUUAAAUUUUUCACACCAUGCUUGAACAACAACCCGCUCGGCUCGUUUAUCACCCCUACACAUACUACACACACAUACAUACUGUAACAUACAUACAUACA